CCUACGGGAGGCUGCAGUGGGGAAUAUUGCGCAAUGGGCGAAAGCCUGACGCAGCGACGCCGCGUGAGGGAUGAAGGUCUUCGGAUCGUAAACCUCUGUCAGCAGGGAAGAACGGUCACUGUGCUAAUCAGCAGUGAAUUGACGGUACCUGCAAAGGAAGCACCGGCUAACUCCGUGCCAGCAGCCGCGGUAAUACGGAGGGUGCGAGCGUUAAUCGGAAUUACUGGGCGUAAAGCGCUCGUAGGCGGUAUGUCAAGUCAAGGGUGAAAUCCCCGCGCUUAACGUGGGAACUGCCUUUGAAACUGGCAAGCUGGAGUGUGUGAGAGGUUAGUGGAAUUCCAGGUGUAGGAGUGAAAUCCGUAGAUAUCUGGAGGAACAUCAGUGGCGAAGGCGACUUUCUGGCACGUAACUGACGCUGAGGAGCGAAAGCGUGGGUAGCAAACAGGAUUAGAUACCCUUGUAGUC
Molecule: ribosomal RNA, 465 nt
Filed under: uncultured bacterium
Lineage: Bacteria
Description: partial 16S ribosomal RNA
Rfam family: Bacterial small subunit ribosomal RNA
Source: RNAcentral